AGAGUUUGAUCAUGGCUCAGAGCGAACGCUGGCGGCGUGCUUAACACAUGCAAGUCGAGUGCGCGGUUGUAGCAAUACAACUGGCGCACGGCGCACGGGUGCGUAACACGUGGGUAAUCUGCCCUCUGAUGGGGAAUAACUCGCCGAAAGGCGAGCUAAUACCGCAUAACAUUCCUUGGACUCCGGUUCGAGGAUUCAAAGGCGUAAGUCGUCGGAGGUGGAGCCCGCGCACGAUUAGCUAGUUGGUAGGGUAAAGGCCUACCAAGGCUAUGAUCGUUAGCUGGUCUGAGAGGAUGGCCAGCCACACUGGAACUGAGACACGGUCCAGACUCCUACGGGAGGCAGCAGUGGGGAAUCUUGCACAAUGGGCGAAAGCCUGAUGCAGCGACGCCGCGUGGGGGAUGAAGCUUCUCGGAGUGUAAACCCCUUUCGACCGGGACGAAUACCUCGCAAGAGGGGUGACGGUACCGGUAUAAGAAGCCCCGGCUAACCACGUGCCAGCAGCCGCGGUAAGACGUAGGGGGCCAGCGUUGCUCGGAAUUACUGGGUGUAAAGGGUUCGUAGGCGGUGUGGCAAGUCGGGAGUGAAAAUCUCUGGGCUCAACUCAGGGGCUGCUUCCGAAACUGCUGUGCUAGAGUGUGGGAGAGGCGCGUGGAAUUGCAGGUGUAGCGGUGAAAUGCGUAGAUAUCUGCAGGAACACCCGUGGCGAAAGCGGCGCGCUGGACCACUACUGACGCUGAGGAACGAAAGCUAGGGGAGCAAACAGGAUUAGAUACCCUAGUAGUCC
RNAcentral lists this ribosomal RNA (787 nucleotides) under uncultured bacterium. RNAcentral describes it as "bacterial SSU rRNA". It matches the Rfam family "Bacterial small subunit ribosomal RNA", at positions 8 to 796 of the family's 1533-position model. The record is from RNAcentral.